RNAcentral lists this ribosomal RNA (433 nucleotides) under uncultured bacterium. RNAcentral's name for it is "partial 16S ribosomal RNA". It matches the Rfam family "Bacterial small subunit ribosomal RNA", at positions 29 to 507 of the family's 1533-position model. The record is from RNAcentral.
AACGAACGCUGGCGGCAUGCCUAACACAUGCAAGUCGAACGAGACCUCCGGGCUUAGUGGCGUACGGGUGCGUAACGCCUGGGAACUUGCCCUUAGGUUCGGAAUACCUCCCUGAAAGGGGUGCUAAUACCGGAUAAUGUCUUCGGACCAAAGAUCUAUCGCCUCUGGGUGGGUACUCGUUGGCUUAGUUAGUUGGUAGGGUAAUAGCCUACUACGGCGACGAUCCCUAGCUGGUCUGUGAGGAUGAUCUUCCACACUGGGACUGAGACACGGCCCAGACUCCUACGGAGGACAGAGGUGAGGUAUAUUGGGCGAUGGGCGAAAGCCUGAGCCAGCAAUGCGGCGUGAGUGAUGAAGGCCUUAGGGUUGUAAAGUUCUUUUACACGAGAUGAUAAUGACAGUACCGGGAAAAUAAGCCCCGGCUAACUCCGUG